This 800-nucleotide ribosomal RNA is filed under the name Chlorociboria aeruginosa. RNAcentral's name for it is "eukaryotic LSU rRNA". It matches the Rfam family "Eukaryotic large subunit ribosomal RNA", at positions 46 to 866 of the family's 3401-position model. The record is from RNAcentral. Lineage: Eukaryota; Fungi; Ascomycota; Leotiomycetes; Helotiales; Chlorociboriaceae. RNAcentral also lists the same sequence under 1 other name.
AAACCCCCAGGAAGAACAACAGGGAUUACCUUAGUAACGGCGAGUGAAGCGGUAACAGCUCAAAUUUGAAAUCUGGCUCUCGUAGGGCCCGAGUUGUAAUUUGGAGAAGAUGCUUUGGGUGCGGCCCGGGUCUAAGUUCCUUGGAACAGGACGUCAGAGAGGGUGAGAAUCCCGUAUGUGAUUGGGUGCCCGCGCCCGUGUAAAGCUCUUUCGACGAGUCGAGUUGUUUGGGAAUGCAGCUCAAAAUGGGUGGUAUAUUUCAUCUAAAGCUAAAUAUGGGCCAGAGACCGAUAGCGCACAAGUAGAGUGAUCGAAAGAUGAAAAGCACUUUGGAAAGAGAGUUAAACAGUACGUGAAAUUGUUGAAAGGGAAGCGCUUGCAACCAGACUUGCGUGCGGCCCGUCACCUGGUGCUCGCACCGGGGCACUGGGUCGCGCGCAGGCCAGCAUCGGUUUGGGUGGUUGGAGAAAGGCCGGGAGAACGUGGCUCCCCUCGGGGAGUGUUACAGCUCUCGGUGCCAUGCAGCCUAUCCAGACCGAGGACCGCGCUCCGGCUAGGAUGCUGGCGUAAUGGUUGCAAGCGACCCGUCUUGAAACACGGACCAAGGAGUCUAACAUCUAUGCGAGUGUUUGGGUGGCAAACCCAUGCGCGGAAUUAACGUGAACGGAGGUGAGAACCCUUCAUGGUGCAUCAUCGACCGAUCCUGAUGUCUUCGGAUGGAUUUGAGUAAAGAGCAUAGCUGUUGGGACCCGAAAGAUGGGGAAAUAUGCUCAAACAAGGUAAAACCAGAAGAAUCUCAG